Molecule: long non-coding RNA, 425 nt
Filed under: Olea europaea subsp. europaea
Lineage: Eukaryota; Viridiplantae; Streptophyta; Magnoliopsida; Lamiales; Oleaceae
Source: RNAcentral
CACCACAUCGUCAACAAAAAAAGAAAUUAAGACCGAAUAAUUGUCUCAAAACAGUGAAGGCCAUCAAAUUCAGGCGCGAAUCUGGACUUCCUUUGGUGACUAUCUUCCAAUUUCUUGGAUUCUCGUGACGAAUUAUUUAUUUGUUCGGCCUUCUUCACCCCUUCAAUUUUGGUAGAAGCCAUUUGCCCCUGUUUCUGCUGCACAUCUUCAUUAGGAGUAGACAAAGAAACGCCAAUUUUGUGGCCCAAAGACUCGGCACAGAAUGCAUCAAAAGAAGUGAAAAUUGACGUCAACAUUGUAGAAUUUUACGGUUAAAGGGAUUUUGAGGGAAUUAGUUUUCUUUCUGUUUGUGUAGAAUGAAGGAAGAGAGGUAUUUAUAGGUGGAGAUGAGGAAAUAUGGAAAGCGUGUGGAAGUCAGAGUCAAG